UCGAGGAUCUUCGGCAAUGGGCGCAAGCCUGACCGAGCGACGCCGCGUGCGCGAUGAAGGCCUUCGGGUUGUAAAGCGCUGUCGAGGGGGAGGAAAGCCCGCAAGGGCCUGACCUAUCCCUGGAGGAAGCACGGGCUAAGUUCGUGCCAGCAGCCGCGGUAAGACGAACCGUGCGAACGUUAUUCGGAAUCACUGGGCUUAAAGGGCGCGUAGGCGGGCGGACAAGUCGGGGGUGAAAUCGUUCGGCCCAACCGGACAAGGGCCCCCGAUACUGGCCGUCUCGAGGGAGGUAGGGGUCGAUGGAACUUCCGGUGGAGCGGUGAAAUGCGUAGAUAUCGGAAGGAACGCCGGUGGCGAAAGCGAUCGACUGGACCUCUUCUGACGCUGAGGCGCGAAAGCCAGGGGAGCAAACGGGAUUAGAUACCCCCGUAGUCC
RNAcentral lists this ribosomal RNA (435 nucleotides) under uncultured bacterium. Its description in RNAcentral is "bacterial SSU rRNA". It matches the Rfam family "Bacterial small subunit ribosomal RNA", at positions 355 to 796 of the family's 1533-position model. The record is from RNAcentral.